Molecule: ribosomal RNA, 468 nt
Filed under: uncultured bacterium
Lineage: Bacteria
Description: partial 16S ribosomal RNA
Rfam family: Bacterial small subunit ribosomal RNA
Source: RNAcentral
GACGAACGCUGGCGGCGUGCUUAACACAUGCAAGUCGAACGGAAAGGCCCUGCUUUUGUGGGGUGCUCGAGUGGCGAACGGGUGAGUAACACGUGAGUAACCUGCCCUUGACUUUGGGAUAACUUCAGGAAACUGGGGCUAAUACCGGAUAUGAGCUCCUGCUGCAUGGUGGGGGUUGGAAAGUUUCGGCGGUUGGGGAUGGACUCGCGGCUUAUCAGCUUGUUGGUGGGGUAGUGGCUUACCAAGGCUUUGACGGGUAGCCGGCCUGAGAGGGUGACCGGCCACAUUGGGACUGGGAUACGGCCCAGACUCCUACGGGAGGCAGCAGUGGGGAAUAUUGCACGAUGGGCGGAAGCCUGAUGCAGCAACGCCGCGUGCGGGAUGACGGCCUUCGGGUUGUAAACCGCUUUCGCCUGUGACGAAGCGUGAGUGACGGUAAUGGGUAAAGAAGCACCGGCUAACUACGUG